Molecule: ribosomal RNA, 460 nt
Filed under: uncultured bacterium
Lineage: Bacteria
Description: partial 16S ribosomal RNA
Rfam family: Bacterial small subunit ribosomal RNA
Source: RNAcentral
CCUACGGGGAGCAGCAGUGAGGAAUAUUGGUCAAUGGGCGAGAGCCUGAACCAGCCAAGUCGCGUGAAGGAUGACGGCCCUACGGGUUGUAAACUUCUUUUGUCAGGGAGCAAUUGAGUCCACGUGUGGUCUUAGCGAGAGUACCUGAAGAAAAAGCAUCGGCGAACACCGUGCCUGCAGCCGCGGUAAUACGGAGGAUGCGACCGUUAUCCGGAGUUAUUGGGUUUAAAGGGUGCGUAGGCGGAAUAUCAAGUCAGCGGUAAAAAUUCGGGGCUAAACCCCGUCGUGCCGUUGAAACUGAUGUUCUUGAGUGGGCGAGAAGUAUGCGGAAUGCGUGGGGUAGCGGUGAAAUGCGUAGAUAUCACGCAGAACUCCGAUUGCGAAGGCAGCAUACCGGCGCCCAACUGACGCUGAAGCACGAAAGCGUGGGUAUCGAACAGGAUUAGAUACCCGUGUAGUC